This 66-nucleotide transfer RNA is filed under the name Nesodiprion zhejiangensis. Its description in RNAcentral is "tRNA-Val". The record is from RNAcentral. Lineage: Eukaryota; Metazoa; Arthropoda; Insecta; Hymenoptera; Diprionidae.
CAAAUUAUUAGAAAAAAUUUUUUAUUUACAAUAAAUAAAUUAGUUGUUUAAUUCAACUUAAUUUGA